Molecule: ribosomal RNA, 575 nt
Filed under: uncultured bacterium
Lineage: Bacteria
Description: bacterial SSU rRNA
Rfam family: Bacterial small subunit ribosomal RNA
Source: RNAcentral
CUGGCGGCGUGCCUAACACAUGCAAGUCGAACGAGAAAGUGGAGCAAUCCAUGAGUACAGUGGCGUACGGGUGAGUAACACGUGACUAACCUACCCUCGAGUGGGGAAUAACUUCGGGAAACCGAGGCUAAUACCGCAUAAUGUCUACGGACCAAAUGCGUAAGCAGCUUGAGGAGGGGGUCGCGGCUAAUUAGCUUGUUGGCGGGGUAACGGCCCACCAAGGCAAUGAUCAGUAGCCGGCCUGAGAGGGCGCACGGCCACACUGGAACUGAAACACGGUCCAGACUCCUACGGGAGGCAGCAGUGGGGAAUUUUGCGCAAUGGGGGAAACCCUGACGCAGCAACGCCGCGUGGAGGAUGAAGCCCCUUGGGGUGUAAACUCCUUUCGAUCGGGACGAUUAUGACGGUACCGGAUGAAGAAGCACCGGCUAACUCUGUGCCAGCAGCCGCGGUAAUACAGAGGGUGCAAGCGUNGUUCGGAAUUAUUGGGCGUAAAGGGUGCGUANGCGGUGCGGUAAGUCUUCUGUGAAACCUCCGGGCUUAACUCGGAGCCUGCAGGGGAAACUGCCGUGCUG